Molecule: long non-coding RNA, 3347 nt
Filed under: Equus asinus (donkey)
Lineage: Eukaryota; Metazoa; Chordata; Mammalia; Perissodactyla; Equidae
Description: lncRNA (ENSEASG00005036156.1)
Source: RNAcentral
AAAAAAGCCUUGAAACCUGGCACUGACUUGCCCUCCUUACAGCUGAAAGUCCUUUCAGGCAUCUGUUUCCAGAAUAGGGAGGUUUCAUUCGUAUCGAAUAUUUGCUCUGACAAGUAAUUUUCCUCCACAACCAGCUUAUGUAGAGUUUCCAAAAAUUCUUCAGCUGCCGUCACAUCAGCCUCGCAGACUCACCACUCACUUUCACAUGAUGUAAUGAGCAAUGAAUUGUUGUUGUUCUUGAAUUGUUUAAGCCACCCAGAGCCGCAGUAAAUUCAACAUCGUAGCAGGGUCCAGUCUUUUCUUUCAACAUCACAAACUUUUUGCCCUGGCCGUGAUCGUCAUAGCACUGAGAGGGGUACACUUCUGUGUCUGGUCUUCAAUCCAGGUCAUCAGAAGUUUCUCCAUGUCUUAUAUAGACCUUUCUCUAAUUUUUUUUUACAUUUUAUGUAUUUAUUUUUAAUUCCUUUUUUAUUGUGGUAAUAGUGGUUUAUAACAUAAAUUUCAGGUGUACAUCAUUAUCUAUGUCGAUUUCUGUGUAGAUUACAACAUGUUCAACACCCAAAGACUAAUUACAAUCCAUCCCCACACACAUGUGCCUAACAACCGCUUUCGCCCUCCUCCCUCCCCUCUUCCCCUCUGGUAAUCACCAAUCUAAUCUGUGUUUCCACGUGUUCAAAUUUUUGUUAUUCUCGUUGCCUUCAAUAAAGCAGAUCCUUUAACAACUUUCGUCACUUUGUUCUUGUUCUUUAAGAUUGUAACUAUGGUGGAAUGGGACAUGCCUGACUGGCGAGCAAUAACCAUCACAGAUUUUCCACCUUGUAGUCCUUAAUCACUUUUUUCCCCCAGGGGAAGAUUUGCCCUAAAGCUAACAUCUGUUACCAAUCUUCCUCCUUUCUCUUCCUUUUUCCCCCUAAAGCCCCAGUACAUAGUUGUGUAUAGUUGUAAAUUCUUUAGCUCCUCUAUGUGAGCUGCCACCACUGCAUGGCUACUAACAGAAGAGUGGUCUGGUUCUAUGCCCGGGAACCAAACCCAGGGAACUGAACCCAGGCCACUGAAGUAGAGUGCACUGAUCUUUAACUGCUAGGCCAUCAGGGCUGGCUCCUUAAUCACUUUUAAUUUCAUUUGCAGGUCAAUCACUCCACGUGGGCUCCUACUGGCAACAUUAGCAGUGGAUUUUGUACACUUAGGGGCCAUGCUGAACAAAACAACGUGAGGUUAAAUCAAGCACAAGAGAAAUGAUGCAAUCAAGAGACGUGGGAAAGAUGAGACGUGACGCUGCUACCAGCGUAACACGGCAUCCUGCUUCACAGAGAACUUUUUUAUAAGUAGAAAGAGUACGUUCUAAAAUAACGAUGAAAAGGAUAGUAUAUUAAAUACACAAACCAGUAACAUAGUUAUUUAUUAUUAUCAAAUAUUAUGUACUGUACAUGACUGUAUGUGCUACACUUUUAUACGACUGCCAGCACGGUAGGUUUGUGUACACCAGCAUUGCCACAAACACGUGAGUAAUGUGUUGCCCUAGGAUGUUAAGAUGGCUACGAUGUCACUAGGCGAUAGGAACUUUUCAGCUCCACUAUAAUCUUGCGGGACCACUGUCAUACACGCGGUCUGCUGUUGACUGAAACAUUGUUAUAUGGCGCGUAACUGUAAUAGCAAUAUAAAGGAAUGAACCAUUGAUAAAUGCACCAUGGACAAAUCUCAGAAUCAUGCUGAAUGAAAGAAGCCAUAGAAAAAAUAGCACGUACUAUAUGAUUCCAUUGAUAUAAAAUCCUAGAAAAUGUAGACUAUUUUAUGGAGACAGAAAGCAGAUCAGUGCUUGCCUGAGAACAGGGCUCUGGUAGAAUCACAAAGUGCCACAAGGUAACCUUUGUGGAGGAUAAAAUCUUCAUUAUCUUAGUUGUGAUAAUGAUGUCACAGGUGUAUAUACACGUAAAAAUUGAUUCAAUUGUGUUUGUUUUUUUUUUUGAGGAAGACUAGCCCUGAGCUAACUACUGCCAAUCCUCCUCUUUUUUUGCUGAGGAAGACUGGUCCUGAGCUAACAUCCAUGCCCAUCUUCCUCUGCUUUAUACGUGGGACGCCUACCACAGCAUGGCUUUUGCCAAGCAGUGCCAUGUCCGCACCUGGGAUCUGGACCGGCAAACCCCGGGCCACCGAGAAGCAGAACAUGCAAACUUAACUACUGCACCACCAGGGUGGCCCCCUUGAUUGUGCAUUUUAAAUACAUGCAGCUAAAUGUAUUUUGAUUACACUUCAAUAAAGUUGGAGGGAUAAACUACAUAAAGAAACAAACAAGAACAGAGCUGGGUAAAAAUGUUGGAUUGAAGAAACACAUUUACUUCUGCUCCUUCCUAAAAUCCCACUUCAACAACAGCAAAGGAAACAAAAUUUAAGGCAAACCCCACACAAUCAAAGAGAAAGGAGAGGAACAACAGGAAAAAUGUUUUGGAGACUCGAAAGCAGUGCACCAAAUGGUAAAUGGUUUAGGGGAAACAAAAAAUUGAAUUCUUAACCAGCAGUGGGGACAAGAGCCAAUCCAAUUUACAAAACAAAAUCUUCAAAAGGCUCAGGAUACGUGAGGCACCAAGUGGAUUAAAGAGAGGGGCUAGAAUCAGAACCAGUUGAAAGUCUGUGUGAUACACAGUCAGCCCACCCUACAGUGAAGUUCAUAGCCAGCCGCAAACACGUACACGCUCAGAGCCCCCAGUCCGAGUUUCUUCAUAUCUUCUGCCUUCGCCAAAAUUCUAAAGGAAAAGUAUUUUCAACUAGUUUUUCUCUACUUGGCUGAAUUAUCCAACGUGUGAGGAUCUGAAAAAUUUUACCUCCCGUGUACCCUUUCUCCUUUGACAAUCGAAGAGGAAAUAAACCAAGCCGGAGGAAGAAUGCGGUACGGAGAACACGGGAUGGACAUGCAAGGAAUCGCAGGCGGAAGGAGCAGGGAGCUCUCAGGCGCCAGGUGGGCACCCAGUGCAGCACCAUCUGCCCAGACCUCCUCAGGGAGGAGAAACUGUUAAUACCUGAUGUGGCUGAAGAUCAAGAGAUCACAACCGACACAGAGGGUGGGGUUAAAUUUGUGACAAGAACAUGGAAAAUGAAGCAAACAAAAAACCAAGUACUCACUUUGGGAAAAUAAAAAGGUGUUCAAGAAAGAAGUAGUCGUGGUGUCUUAUCUUGUCCCCGAAAAAUAUUUCCAAGCUCCUAACAACAUAAAUGCUAAAUAAUGCUGUAACUGAAAUUCGAUAUAACCACUUUGGGAGGAUGAGAGGAUGGGAAGAGCAGAGGAGGGGGAAGGAAGAGAAGAAUUUUCAGAUAAUGCCUAAGAUGAAAAGUCAAGGUGUGGUAAUACGAGC